RNAcentral lists this ribosomal RNA (621 nucleotides) under bacterium 4873K2-B22. Its description in RNAcentral is "bacterial SSU rRNA". It matches the Rfam family "Bacterial small subunit ribosomal RNA", at positions 46 to 656 of the family's 1533-position model. The record is from RNAcentral.
GCCUAACACAUGCAAGUCGAGCGGAAACGAGAAGUAGCUUGCUACUUCGGCGUCGAGCGGCGGACGGGUGAGUAAUGCCUAGGAAGUUGCCCAGUAGAGGGGGAUAACCAUUGGAAACGAUGGCUAAUACCGCAUAUUCUCUUUGGAGCAAAGCAGGGGACCUUCGGGCCUUGCGCUAUUGGAUACGCCUAGGUGGGAUUAGCUAGUUGGUGAGGUAAUGGCUCACCAAGGCAACGAUCCCUAGCUGGUCUGAGAGGAUGAUCAGCAACACUGGAACUGAGACACGGUCCAGACUCCUACGGGAGGCAGCAGUGGGGAAUAUUGCACAAUGGGCGAAAGCCUGAUGCAGCCAUGCCGCGUGUAUGAAGAAGGCCUUCGGGUUGUAAAGUACUUUCAGUCGUGAGGAAGGGGGUAAGCUUAAUACGCUUAUCUCUUGACGUUAGCGACAGAAGAAGCACCGGCUAACUCCGUGCCAGCAGCCGCGGUAAUACGGAGGGUGCGAGCGUUAAUCGGAAUUACUGGGCGUAAAGCGCAUGCAGGUGGUUCAAUAAGUCAGAUGUGAAAGCCCGGGGCUCAACCUCGGAACUGCAUUUGAAACUGUUGGACUAGAGUACUGUAGAG